CCUACGGGAGGCAGCAGUGAGGAAUAUUGGUCAAUGGACGAGAGUCUGAACCAGCCAAGUAGCGUGAAGGAUGACUGCUCUAUGGGUUGUAAACUUCUUUUAUAAAGGAAUAAAACGAGGCACGUGUGCCUUUUUGUAUGUACUUUAUGAAUAAGGAUCGGCUAACUCCGUGCCAGCAGCCGCGGUAAUACGGAGGAUCCGAGCGUUAUCCGGAUUUAUUGGGUUUAAAGGGAGCGUAGAUGGGUUUUUAAGUCAGUCGUGAAAGUUUGCGGCUCAACCGUAAAAUUGCAAUUGAUACUGGCAGUCUUGAGUACAGUUGAGGUAGGCGGAAUUCGUGGUGUAGCGGUGAAAUGCUUAGAUAUCACGAAGAACCCCGAUUGCGAAGGCAGCUUACUAAACUGUGACUGACAUUGAUGCUCGAAAGUGUGGGUAUCAAACAGGAUUAGAUACCCUAGUAGUC
This 460-nucleotide ribosomal RNA is filed under the name uncultured bacterium. RNAcentral's name for it is "partial 16S ribosomal RNA". It matches the Rfam family "Bacterial small subunit ribosomal RNA", at positions 338 to 795 of the family's 1533-position model. The record is from RNAcentral.